This 2156-nucleotide ribosomal RNA is filed under the name Lodderomyces parapsilosis. RNAcentral describes it as "Candida parapsilosis large subunit ribosomal RNA". It matches the Rfam family "Bacterial large subunit ribosomal RNA", at positions 1 to 2476 of the family's 2925-position model. The record is from RNAcentral. Lineage: Eukaryota; Fungi; Ascomycota; Pichiomycetes; Serinales; Debaryomycetaceae.
AAAGGAGACAUGAUUUGAAAAAGUUAUAAAUGAUAUUAAUAUUAAUAUAUGGAAACUCAUAAAUUAUAUAUAUAUAAUAUAUAUAUAAGACUUAUGUUAUAGAAAGGAUAAAUUAGUUUGGCAUAAGCCGAUCCUAACUAGAAAUAGUAAAUAAAAAAGUAUGUGAAUUGAAACAUCUUAGUAACAUAUGUAAAAACCAAUAGGGAUAACAGUAGUAUCGGUGAGAGAAUCUGUUGUUGUAUACAAGUAAUACUUAGAAGUAUGAAUAAAGUAGUAUCUACUACUAAUACAUAAACUAUAACAUAAAGUUAAAAGUACUGUAAAGGAAAGAGUUAAAAAAUCAAAUUAUAUAAUAAAAAUAUAUAUAAGAGAUAAAAAGAAAUAUAUUAAUAAAGAGCAACUAUAGUAUAGUGUACCUCUUGUAUAAUGGGUCAGUGAGUUAUUUUUAUAAGCGAAAUAAGAAUUAUAUAUAAUAAGAUAAAGUUUAUAGGAAUAGACCCGAAAGCACAUGAUCUAUAUAUGUAUAGAUAUAUAUUUAAAAUAAAUAUAUGAUCAAAUAGGUAGAUGUAGCAAUAUCUUCUAAAGAUAUGUGUAUAGUAGUGAAAGGCAAAACUGAUGUGCAGAUAGCUGGUUAUCUACGAAAUAUAUGUUAGUAUAGCCCUUAUAAUAGCGUAAACCCUGGUAAAGCACUUAAUACCAUAUGGGAAUAAAUUUAUUUACUAUAUGUAUUAAACCUCUGAACAGGAGUGAUAUGACAUAUAAGGAGUCAGACUUAUUGCGAUAAGGUAAUAAGUCGAAAAGGGAAUAACCUAGACUAUUAAAUGAAGGUCCCAAAUCCUCAUUAAGUGAAUACAAUCCUAUGAGUAGAUAAAUACCUCAAUAUAUUCCAUAAAGGAAUAAUUUUGAUCAGACAAUUAGUCAGUGGGUUUGAUAAUAAUCACCUGUUAAAGAACAUGUAAAAAUGCACUAAUAGAAUUUAUAUCAAAAAAAGAUAUAUAAAUCAAAAGAUAGGAACAAAUAUACGGGUCUAAAUGUAGGAACCGAAUAAUAGAUAUAAUAAAAAAUAUUAUAUAGUAGUAGAUUAUAUAGUGAUAAUAACUAUAAAGACAAUGCUGACUUGAGUAACGAUAGGUAAUUAAGGAUUACCCCUACAAAACACAAGGUUUAACUAUAAAUUAACGGUAUCUAAGUAUAUAUAUGAAGAUAUAUAUAUGAUGAUAGAUAGUACAGGAAAAUGUAGUAACCGUACCGCAGUCCGACCCAGGUGUGUAAAUGAUAAAAAAUAAUCAUAAUAUAAAUCUUAUAACUAAUAAGAAAGAUAUUGAGUAGGAAUGGGUGAAGUAUCAUAAAUGAACUCGGCAAAUAAGGCAAGGCCUGAAUAGUACGACUGUUUACCAAAAACACAGCUUACUGCAAAUAGGAAACUAUCGGUAUAGUAAGUGAUAUCUGUCCGGUGUAAGUUAGAUAAAUAAAUAAUUGACUUAUAAACGACGGUCUUAUCAUGAGGAUCUGAAAGUAGCAAAAUUCAUUGGCAUAUAAUUGGUGUCCCGCAUGAAUGAUUAUACGAUACUAUAGCUGUAUCUAUGGUAUACCCAGUGAAAUAGUAAUCGCAGUGAAGAUACUGUGUAGUCAUAGAUUGACAAAAAGACCCUAUGCAGCUUUACUAUAUUCUUAUACUGUUAUAUAUAUAUAUAUUUAAAUUAAAUAUUUUUAUUUAUAUGUUUAUUUCUUUAUAUAUAUAACUAACCUUUAUUAAGGUACCAUAUAAGAUGGUUAGUUUCGAUGGGGCGUCGGCAUCACAAAACAUAACUGAUGUGUCUAAAUGAUAUUUUAUAUUCCCUUAUAUUUUAUUACUUUUUAGUUUUAUUUAUAAGGCCAUCAUCUUUUUAAGAUAAUAAUAGAAUAAAUAAGUACAGAUACACUAGUUGGCAACUAGUAUUAAUUAAUAUAAUAUUAUUUAUUAUAUUAUUCCUCAUUUUUGAUGUGGAAUCAUAUAUGUAAUACAUAUAUAAUUAAUUUUAUUUAUAAGGAUAAUAACAUAACUGUGCUAUGAUAAUGACACAUACUUGUGGAAUUAGUACUUAAGUAUAGUAUAUUGAACAGGCAAUAUCAUUAGAAUUGAGUGUCGAUUACGGAUUAAAGUUACGCUAGGGAUA